Equus caballus (horse) is the source of this 296-nucleotide non-coding RNA. The record is from RefSeq and is a predicted model, not a curated record. Lineage: Eukaryota; Metazoa; Chordata; Mammalia; Perissodactyla; Equidae.
CCGACGGGGUCACCCGCAGCUGCAUCUCCUUCGGAGUCUCCACGUCCCGGGGGACGAGGGAACCCCUCUCGGUCUCCAUGUCCGCCCUGACCAUCUCCCAUCCUACCUGAAAUGACGUUGGCGCUUAUGGUCAACCAGUCUCGAGAAAGAUUCAGCAGAGUUGGAGAAGGACAUCUAAAAGAAUCAAGGAGAAGACAAACAAUCUAAAAUAUCACUACUUUCCAGUAUGGAAAUAUGAAGGAUUAGGAAAGAACUGGGCUAAAUUUUAUAAUACUUAAAUAAAUGACCAGAAUGAA